Molecule: transfer RNA, 65 nt
Filed under: Chelonibia testudinaria
Lineage: Eukaryota; Metazoa; Arthropoda; Thecostraca; Balanomorpha; Chelonibiidae
Description: tRNA-Phe
Source: RNAcentral
AUUAAAAUAGCUCAAAUUUAGAGUUUUGCAUUGAAGCUGCAAAGGUGACUAUAUGUCUUUUAAUA